This 494-nucleotide ribosomal RNA is filed under the name uncultured bacterium. RNAcentral describes it as "partial 16S ribosomal RNA". It matches the Rfam family "Bacterial small subunit ribosomal RNA", at positions 28 to 507 of the family's 1533-position model. The record is from RNAcentral.
GACGAACGCUGGCGGCGUGCUUAACACAUGCAAGUCGAGCGGAAAGGCCUGCUUUCCCUUGUGGAUUGCGGGUACUCGAGUGGCGAACGGGUGAGUAACACGUGAGUGAUCUGCCCCCAACUUGGGUAUAAGCCUGGGAAACUGGGUCUAAUUCCCGAUAGGACUGCAGGGUGGUGCCUGUGGUGGAAAACGAUUUUCUAGUGGUUGGGGAUGAGCUCGCGGCCUAUCAGCUUGUUGGUGGGGUAAUGGCCUACCAAGGCGGCGACGGGUAGCCGGCCUGAGAGGGUGGACGGCCACAUUGGGACUGAGAUACGGCCCAGACUCCUACGGGAGGCAGCAGUGGGGAAUAUUGCACAAUGGGCGGAAGCCUGAUGCAGCGACGCCGCGUGGGGGAUGACGGCCUUCGGGUUGUAAACUCCUUUCGACCGCGAGGGAGCCACCUGGUUGGAAGGGUGGUGACGGUAGUGGUAGAAGAAGCACCGGCUAACUACGUG